AUGGCGGCCGCACUUCUCGCCGCCACGCGCUCGCCUCUCCCGCUGACAUUUUGGAGACGGAGGCCUCUUCUCGCGGCUCCACCGCCCGCGCUCCGCCCGAGGGAUCCAGCCUCUGCUCCUCCCGGAAUCCCGCCGCCUCCCCGCAAAGCUCUCGCUCCCGUCGCCAGAGCGCCGACGCCGGCGCGAGGCGGCGGUGACGCGACGGAGGAGCCGGGCCAGGCGCCCGGCGACUGGGCGGGGCGGCUGGCGCUGGGCGCGCUCCUGGGCUCCGCCGCCCUGCUCGGCGGCCGUGGCGCGGCACUCGCGGCGGCCGAGGACUCCAUCUAGGCGUCCGGGUUCGGGCUGCGGGUGGCGGCGUCGCUGCGGAGCCUCGGCUGGCCCGACGACGCCGUCGUGUUCAUAAUUGCCACAUUGCCGGUGCUAGAGCUGCGCGGAGCAAUUCCGGCCGGGUAUUGGAUGCGCCGUCACCCCGUCCAGCUGACCGUCCUGGCAGUUUUGAUGAACAUGGUGCCUGUGCCAUUCAUCAUCCUCUACCUGAAGAAACUCGCAAAGAAGCGCUGGGGUGACCCGGACAAUGGACCUCUUCUCGAGCGGGCGUGAUGAAAUGCUGCGGCUGUCGAGGAGUUCCAGUGGCUGAUCAGGCUGAUGACGUUGGUUGCCGUUCCGUUCCCAGGCACCGGAGCAUGGACCGGCGCUAUCAUCACGUCUGUCCUUGCCAUGCCGUUCUGGUCAGGCUUGUCCGCCAACUUUGUGGGAGUCGUCCUAGCAGGGUUGCUGGUAAACUUGCUCAUGAAUCUCGGUGUGAAGUACGCCAUUGGCACGGGGGCGCUCCUCUUGAUUGUAUCAACUGUCAUGUGGGGUGCCCUUCAGGGUGUGAAGAAAUCGUUGAAUACGAAAUGA
Molecule: ribosomal RNA, 900 nt
Filed under: Triticum aestivum (bread wheat)
Lineage: Eukaryota; Viridiplantae; Streptophyta; Magnoliopsida; Poales; Poaceae
Description: partial small subunit ribosomal RNA
Source: RNAcentral